UACGUAGGCAGCGAGCGUUGUUCGGAAUUACUGGGCGUAAAGAGUGUGUAGGCGGUGUUCCCAGUCUGUUGCGAAAUCUCCCGGCUUAACUGGGAGGGUGCAGCGGAAACUAGAAUGCUAGGGGGUGGGAGAGGUAAGCGGAAUUCCUGGUGUAGCGGUGAAAUGCGUAGAUAUCAGGAGGAACACCUGUGGUGUAGACAGCUUACUGGACCACUUCUGACGCUGAGACACGAAAGCGUGGGUAGCAAACAGG
RNAcentral lists this ribosomal RNA (253 nucleotides) under uncultured bacterium. RNAcentral's name for it is "partial 16S ribosomal RNA". It matches the Rfam family "Bacterial small subunit ribosomal RNA", at positions 524 to 776 of the family's 1533-position model. The record is from RNAcentral.